GGGCGCAUGGUCUAGUGGUUUAAGACGACUCGGUUAGGGUCUGAUGCGGUGUAGACCCAGGUUCGAAUCCUGGUGUGCCUA
This is a non-coding RNA of Cercophora samala, 81 nucleotides long. NCBI's taxonomy places the organism in Eukaryota, Fungi, Ascomycota, Sordariomycetes, Sordariales, Lasiosphaeriaceae. The record is from the annotation of a GenBank genome assembly.